This 451-nucleotide ribosomal RNA is filed under the name uncultured bacterium. RNAcentral's name for it is "bacterial SSU rRNA". It matches the Rfam family "Bacterial small subunit ribosomal RNA", at positions 354 to 796 of the family's 1533-position model. The record is from RNAcentral.
GUGGGGAAUAUUGGGCAAUGGGCGCAAGCCUGACCCAGCCAUGCCGCGUGAGUGAUGAAGGCCUUCGGGUCGUAAAGCUCUGUGGGGAGGGACGAAACCGGCUGCGGACAACACCCGCGGCUCUUGACGGUACCUCCUUAGCAAGCACCGGCUAACUCCGUGCCAGCAGCCGCGGUAAUACGGAGGGUGCAAACGUUGCUCGGAAUCAUUGGGCGUAAAGCGCACGUAGGCGGUCCAGCAAGUCGGAUGUGAAAGCCCUUGGCUCAACUGAGGAAGUGCAUUCGAAACUGCUGAACUUGAGUAUGGAAGAGGGUCUCGGAAUUCCCGGUGUAGAGGUGAAAUUCGUAGAUAUCGGGAGGAACACCAGCGGCGAAGGCGGAGACCUGGGCCAAUACUGACGCUGAGGUGCGAAAGCGUGGGGAGCAAACAGGAUUAGAAACCCGAGUAGUCC